Molecule: long non-coding RNA, 399 nt
Organism: Lepus europaeus (European hare)
Lineage: Eukaryota; Metazoa; Chordata; Mammalia; Lagomorpha; Leporidae
Exons: 4
Source: RefSeq, a predicted model, not a curated record
AUUUGCUUUGUAUUUGCAUAAAGCAUUAUGCUGACAAUUUUUUUUCUGUUACCUGAUUUAGAUGUAUACAUUCUAAGCCAGGUGGGAGGGAAAACACAUUGAAAUAUGUUAUGACCUGUGAAAAAUCAAUGUCUGAAAUUAAUAGAAGUUUCUCACUUGGUUUCCUCAGACAGGGAUCAGAGUUAAAUGGCGAAUUAGAAGGGGGUUGGGUAGCUCUCCGUGGAUUCUCACAAGGCGUUGUAUCAUCUCUUGUCAUCACCAGAAGGGAUCAAUGGUUCAGUUUCGCGGCGACUUUGUAGAACAUAACUACCGCGAAUAACAAGAAUUGACUGCUGUUGGACCUUGCCUAGCUGCUUUUUUCAUUGCUUUCCCCUGUGAGGAACAUUGGAAAAGAUUUAA